UGGAGUUCUGAGGAGAUGACAUCUCAGCCAGAACCAGGUGACAGAAAAAAUCAAAGUGGGAAAGCCACUGCUCGCCUUCUGUAGGACGCCCCACACCAGAUCCUCUGUGGGAUGUCCUCCAAGUCCACCCAGAUGGGAAUCAUCAGGCACAGUGCAUGGCUGGCUCAAGUAGCACACCAUUUCCCACAGGCCCUGAAGCUGGACAAGAAGGCAAGAGCCUGGCGCUGUCUCCUGGAGAAGGCUGAGAGGACCACCCCUUCUCUUACCUCAUCAUAAGUACAGAGAAGUCACCUGGGGCCCAGGGUCUCCACAGAGCUGAGAAGAGCUUUCGCAGCCAGAGCUCCGGACUCACCCAACACUGACGGUGCCAGCAGGGACAGCAGCCAGGGUCCCAGCACUGGGUUCAUCCCCCUCCUUGCGUGGCCUUUGCUCCUGUUAGGGGGUGAACUGUGUACCCUUAAAGCUCACAUGCCACAGUCUUAACCUUCAGCCUGUUAAAGAUAGAAGAAGCAGUGGGGAGGCCACCCAAGAGGAAGACAUGGCCCUAAUCCCAUGACUUCUGUCCUUGUAACAAGACACCAAGUAAAGAAAAAGAGGAUGUACAACGGAAAGAUUAAAAAAAAAAAAAAAGAUGGAAAAAUGCCAUCCGCAUGCCAAGGGACAUCAUCAAUCAUUAGAAAAGCCUAAGGGACCUCGAUGGGCCAAUCCUUUGAAACAGGGUCCAUCCCUCUCACUGCCACAAACUGAGACAUUACUUAUGGUGUGGGUGCUGCUCCAUCUGCAGGACUAGACAUCUCCCAUGAUGAAUUUCCCAACCAUCACUCAUUUUCCCAGGCUAGGUGAAGUCAGUCAUGCCUAACUCCAUCCCUCCCCACACCUGCUGCUAAGAAGGUAGCACAGGAGGAGGAGAUGUAGAAAGCGGCGUGGGUGGGAACAGAGGUUGUCCACAGAGGAAGGUUGUGGGCUGGAGCCCAGGCACUAGGCAUCUCUGGGAAGCAAGGACAGCCCCAGAAGUCUUGAGGCUCAGCAGUGAAACAGGCAGGGUCUCGAGGAAACGGGGGUUCAGCAAAGCAAACGUGAAACAUCUAGGCUCCUUUCCUACUCUGAGUAGUGCAGAAGCUAGCUGCUGUCCCUAGAGUUAGCCCAGAGAAUGGAGAACAGACACUAGACUCUGGUCUGCAGGUGACCAGAGGCCAGCAGACCUUUGUCCCAGUAGGUCUCUCAGUGGUCAGACACCCUCCAGAUUCCCUUACCCCCACAUGGUCCUGGCAUUAAGCCACCAGUGCUAAGAGAGUCCAGCUUCCACUUUUCUUGGUUCAGCCCAGUCUUGUGACAGUACAUGGGGUGACUCAGCCAGCUUUGCAGAAUAGUACAGUCUUUCCAAGGGGUGUUGCCACUUUGCAGUUGGGAGACACAUCCAAGUUCACAAAAACAUCCUGUUUCUGAACUUGGCUCAUGGGACUGAAAGCAGAGAGGACUGAAAGCAGAUCUCUGAGCAGCCUGGAGUGCUGGGAGGAGUAAGGGUCAGCUAGAGGGCAGGGAGAAAAAGUGACCACGGGGUCAUGUUUAAUUAAGGGGUAUGUAUAGAAGCUAAAGGAUAGGUGUGAAGAGGGGGCACUGGAAAAGGGGCUCACAUGUCCCCUGCAAGAGCAUAUAAAAAAAAAAAAAAAACAGAGCUGGGACUACUCAGAGGUCAGCAAAGCCACACUGCCACACGGGUCUGUGUUGGGGACAGGAGCUGAUACUAGGUUCAGUGGGCUUUCCUAGAGGGCACAGAACGACAGAGCUGGUUCCCAAAGGCUGCUUACUGUUUACAUGCCAGGAAGGAGGUCAGGUUUUGCAAUCUUGCCUGAAAACACAAGCUCUCAGGUAAACAUGUGCUUAUGACACUGACCCCAGAGGGAAGUUGCUGCGCUGAUACGGUCACUCCCUUUUCCCUGUAUGUCAAAGUGCCAGUUUGCAGCAGCUGGAAGAAGAUGCUGAUGGCAUUUGAGACAAGAGGACAUAACAGAGCUGGGACAUCGAAGCCUGCCGCAGGGUCGGAAUUAAGUUUUUCUUCAUUAAUAAUAUCCUAAUUUGCAUGAUUAAUAUGUCAUGAUCCACGAACACAGGCAACUAACAGAACAAUUUCUGAACAAAAAUGCCACCUGUUGAGCCAAGAGAAUAAGACAAACAGAAGGUAAAUGCGCUUACGUGAAGGAGAGACCAGUUCCCCCCAAAUAUCAACAUCAUCAAAACAGCUAUUUGAAGAAUGCAGAAAGGAGCAUGCCCAAAGGCUCAUUGGGAGGAAGAGCCCUGGUGUGCCUGCUACUCUUACACUGCCAUUGGACAAAUCUGAAAAUUCCAGACAAAGCUGAUGAUGGCCUGCUGGCUGAGCUCCUUGCCUGGUUUCUCCAGCUGGCCCCAGGCCAAGAGGCGGGGUGUUCCAGGCCACAGUGGUGCCACCCUAUCAGCCCAGAUCCACCUCUUUCUGUGGCUGCAAACCUCAGCUAUUUUUGGCCUGCCAGCCUGUGUCAGGAACUGGAACAGGGUGAUGAGCGUGGAGGGAAAACACCUGUGGGGUGUCUUCAGCUGUGUGAUACAGACCACUGGUGAUGUUGGAAACUUCCUGGGAGCCAUAUCUGGACACAGGGUCCCUUGGAGUCUAUACUGCAUUCCUUGACUUAAACAUCUGAAAACUCAGUUGUCUGCUCUGCCUAUGGUCACCUUGUUCCAAACCUUCACUCUGAAUUGCGAAUGCAAGCUAAAACAGGUCCAAUGGCACUAGGAGAUAUGACGUAGAUGUCAUAUGAGACCACCAUCAUGUGUGCUGUCUGUCAACCAUUCUGUUGCUAGCUGGCACAUAGAUGUAUCAUAUCACAUAGCAGAAGUGUGCUCAGAAAGCAUGAUUGAGGUAACACACACACAUGCAUGCACAUACGUACACAGAUGAACACACACAUCCAUACAGUCAUUAGCGUAUGUUCAUUAGCUAACUAUAGUAAUCACUUCACUGUAUAUAUGUAUAU
This is a long non-coding RNA of Psammomys obesus (fat sand rat), 3008 nucleotides long. RefSeq lists it as uncharacterized. Lineage: Eukaryota; Metazoa; Chordata; Mammalia; Rodentia; Muridae. The record is from RefSeq and is a predicted model, not a curated record. The transcript has 3 exons.